AUGGGCUAUGCAAUAGAGAUAAGUUGCAUCCAUAACAUCAUCUACUACAUCCCACGGCUGAAGAAUUUGAUCAUCAGCAUUGGUCAGCUCGAUGAGAGCAACUCAUGUGUGCUGAUCAGAAGAGGUGUGCUUCGAAUCUGGACCAGCAAGGUCGACUCCUUGUUUGGGUUGGGCGUGGGCGGAAUCACCUUUACCUCCUACAUCUUUAGAAAAAAUGAAGCUGGCAAGGUGAUCAAGCAAAAAGCACGGCUGGUCGCACGAGGUUACGUCCAACAAGCUGGCACUGAUUUCGGCUGCUGCUUGCUUUGGCUGCCCAGGAGGGGUGGCCCGUCCGCCAUAUUUAAUGGAGAAUUGAAGGAGGUGGUCUACAUGAAGCAGCCGCCUGGUUUCAUCAUCGCUGGAGAAGAAGGAAAAGUCUGUGGCUGCAGCGAGCAUGAGCACGUGAUCUACCGGUGCAUCACUGGGGACGAAAUCCUGCUCAUUGGAGUUAGAUGA
RNAcentral lists this ribosomal RNA (495 nucleotides) under Triticum aestivum (bread wheat). RNAcentral's name for it is "partial small subunit ribosomal RNA". The record is from RNAcentral. Lineage: Eukaryota; Viridiplantae; Streptophyta; Magnoliopsida; Poales; Poaceae.